Molecule: ribosomal RNA, 489 nt
Filed under: uncultured bacterium
Lineage: Bacteria
Description: partial 16S ribosomal RNA
Rfam family: Bacterial small subunit ribosomal RNA
Source: RNAcentral
AUUGAACGCUGGCGGCAUGCCUUACACAUGCAAGUCGAACGGCAGCAUGAUCUAGCUUGCUAGAUUGAUGGCGAGUGGCGAACGGGUGAGUAAUACAUCGGAACGUGCCCUGUAGUGGGGGAUAACUAGUCGAAAGAUUAGCUAAUACCGCAUACGACCUGAGGGUGAAAGUGGGGGACCGCAAGGCCUCAUGCUAUAGGAGCGGCCGAUGUCUGAUUAGCUAGUUGGUGAGGUAAAGGCUCACCAAGGCGACGAUCAGUAGCUGGUCUGAGAGGACGAUCAGCCACACUGGGACUGAGACACGGCCCAGACUCCUACGGGAGGCAGCAGUGGGGAAUUUUGGACAAUGGGCGAAAGCCUGAUCCAGCAAUGCCGCGUGUGUGAAGAAGGCCUUCGGGUUGUAAAGCACUUUUGUCCGGGAAGAAAUGGCUCUGGUUAAUACCUGGGGUCGAUGACGGUACCGGAAGAAUAAGGACCGGCUAACUACGU